This 1784-nucleotide long non-coding RNA is filed under the name Medicago truncatula (barrel medic). Its description in RNAcentral is "lncRNA gene5989". Lineage: Eukaryota; Viridiplantae; Streptophyta; Magnoliopsida; Fabales; Fabaceae. The record is from RNAcentral.
AGCUAUCUCUGCUUUUCUGCUCCAAUUUUCAAAAAAAAAAAAAAAGAAGAUAUUGACUAGCUUUUCUAACUUCUAAAGUCUAAGCACAUUUUUCUACCAACUUAAAGCUUCAAUUUGAAGAGGGAGAUGAUUCCAAAUUUGCAGAAGAACAACCCAUAAACUGCAGCUCUUUCUUAUCAAAAAUAUCCAAAGAAAAAUCUCUUAGCAUCUGAGUAUUUGUAGCAGAGGAUGAAGAAGUAGUAGCAGAACAACUAGUUGAAGUUGCUGAACUCAAACUAGGAGCCAAAGUAGAUGAAGCAUUAGAAUUUGCAUAAGCAGUAGCAGCAUUUGAAGGUUCUUGUGGCAUUUGCAUAGCAGAAACAAAAUCAGAAAUAGGUCUUGUUUGCACAUUGAAAAAUGGUGCUGCAGGAAUAGCCCAAAACUGUGGCUGAUUCAUUAGAGUUGAAUUUGGGAACAUGAAAAAUGGUCCUGUUGUAUUAGACCCAACACCGUUACUUACAACAGGCCAUAAUGGAACUAAACCACCACCAUUUUCACCACUACCACCGCCACUGGAGGUGGCGGCGGCACCGUAUGCGGUUUGAGCAAUUGGUGCUAAUCCCGAACACAUUGAAACUUGAUCAUUCAAGUCAACAAACUCACUGUUUGAAGCUCUUCUUCUUCUCUUCACCGGAGCAUCUUCACCGUCUGGUCUCGCCGGAGAUGAUGUUGGAAUCUUUAACGUACCUCCGACGGAAACAGCAAUGGCUGGCACCGUUCCGGUGCCAGUUGCUUCAAUGAUAGAAGGUUCAGCUUGUUCUAACAACCACCGGAUUGUUUCUCCGUCGGAUUUGUGACCUAGCUCCCUCGUCAGUUGAAAGAUUCUGGCGGCGCAUGUCGCCGGAAUCCUGAUUCUCCGACCACGUCCUUCCACCUUCGUGUGACGGUCUUUCGAUGACCUCUUCGCCGCCGCCACUGUCAUCGUUUGAACCGGCACCGGAAUAAGGCUGUUGUUUUCCGUUUCCGUUAGCUCUUCUUUCAUUAACGCCGCCGCAGGCUCCGUCGUCUCCGACGGAGAUACUUCAGUACUGUCAGUUUUGUUUUCUUCACAUAAAACAUCGCCGCCGUUAGGGUUCACUUCCAUCCUAAACAAAAAUUAACAAAUAAAAAUUUAACAAAGACCCAUUAAGGAAUGAUCAAAACCCAGAUGAAAAAAAAAAGAAAAAGAUUUCAAAUUUAAGAAAAGAAAAAAAUCAUUUUUUUUGGGGCCUACUUUGUUUUGCAGAGAAACAGAGUUUUUGAUACGUUGACUGUGUUUGAAUCUUUCAGGCACUGCAAAAGAUUAGAAAGACUAAUUGAGAAUUCGAAGAGGUUUUUGUUAAUAAAAAAUAAAAAAAAAAAGAUAAUUGUGUUGAUUGAGAGAAACAACAAACCCUAACAAUGGUGGAGAGCCCCACAUAUCCGUGUGGAAGAGAGGGUCCCUCAGGAUCAGUAUUUAUUUGCACAAUGAAAUAGGAUUAAUGGCUGGAUAUACUUUUUACAUUAGAUGAAUGGAUGGGAUGAUGCCACGCAGUUACCUCUUAGUUUUGCUCCUAUUUUCCAUUUCAAAAUAAAAAGUAUAAUUCAUAGUCAACAGUCGUAGAUUUCUUCUUAAUGGAUAAAAAGGAAUGUUGUUGAAAAAUUUAAAUGAUACAAAUAAUCAAUAUAUUUGAAAAGAAGGAAAAUUAUAUUUCUUAAUUGGGAUGGUGUUUGGAGGCUGCGGGUUCCUCCGAAGGUUAAAAAUUUAAUAUGGAGAAUGUGCAGAG